This is a long non-coding RNA of Alligator mississippiensis (American alligator), 562 nucleotides long. RefSeq lists it as uncharacterized. The record is from RefSeq and is a predicted model, not a curated record. The transcript is spliced from 3 exons. Lineage: Eukaryota; Metazoa; Chordata; Crocodylia; Alligatoridae.
CUAAGAGCUGGGCUGUGGGCACCAAAGGGUUAAUAGCUGGUGGGUUGGGAGGCCCUCCAGCACUUAGGGGCUCCCCUCCCUGACUAUCAGGGGCUCACAAUCCCCACCCCCAAUCCUUCAGGGAGGAGCAUUCAACACCAAGGACCACCCCCCCACUGGACCAACCCCAAGCCAAUCCUGCAGAGGAACCCCACUGCCCCCCAGCUACAUGAGAGUGCCCCCAGCCCCUGGGGGGGCACUACUCCGGGAGGGGGAAGCAGCACACACAGCUAUAGCUGAGGCGCAGUGCCAGGCCAGACUCCCCCCACUCCUACCCCACAAGGGAACAGGAUGCCUCACACCAGAAACCAGGAGGAUGUGAACCCCCCAUCCCAGCGGCUCUCACCUGCCCAGAACCAAGGGGCCUGUCUCUUUAAGAGUGGAGAAGAAGGGGACAGCAGAUCCAGCCCCCACAUGAGGACGGAGGGGGUGAGAGCAGCCCCUAGUGGCUGUGAAGGGCAACGCAGGGCCUGAUCCGGAGUCAUUCCGGACCGAGAUCGAAUUAAAAAAAAAGAUAGCAGGG